UUUGCUCUCCCCGUUCGCCGGGCAGUGAAUGUUAAAACAAAGGCGAUACUAAGCAUGUAGUACCAACGGCGUAGAAUUUGCGGACGCGGGUUCGAUUCCCGCCGCCUCCACCA
Molecule: transfer-messenger RNA, 113 nt
Filed under: Gammaproteobacteria bacterium
Lineage: Bacteria; Pseudomonadati; Pseudomonadota; Gammaproteobacteria
Description: partial transfer-messenger RNA
Rfam family: transfer-messenger RNA
About the family: Bacterial tmRNA, also known as 10Sa RNA or SsrA, is named for its dual tRNA and mRNA-like properties.
Source: RNAcentral